CUCCGGCUCCAAUUCUAAUACCACACGUGGCUUCAGAAGACAUCAAUAUCGAAGGAUUCAAUGUUCCACGAGACACAAUUGUGAUUAUUAAUGGUUGGGCCAUGCAAAGAGAUCCUAAGAUAUGGAAAGAUGCGACAAGCUUUAAACCUGAGAGGUUUGAUGAAGAAGGAGAGGAGAAGAAGUUGGUAGCAUUUGGUAUGGGAAGAAGGGCUUGCCCAGGAGAACCCAUGGCUAUGCAAAGUGUUAGCUAUACUUUGGGAUUAAUGAUUCAAUGUUUUGACUGGAAACGAGUAAGUGAGAAGAAGCUUGAUAUGACAGAGAAUAAUUGGAUCACCUUGUCAAGGUUAAUUCCAUUGGAGGCUAUGUGUAAAGCCCGCCCACUCGCCAGCAAAGUUGGAAGUUAUUAACAAUAUUUUAUUUGGUAUAUUUGGGUGAGGAUCUAAUACUCAUAAUUUCGGUGUGUAAGUCUAUGCAUGUUAAAAUUAAUAAUAUUUGUCGUAUGUCCACAAGGCCAAAUGUAGUACUGGGUGUGGACUUGCAUAUACAAUAUCAAUAUUGUAUAAAUCCCAGUUUCCUUGAAUAAAUUUCUUUACUUUCUAUUGUUAUGAAUCCCAGUACUUUUUAAAAAGAGAUGUUACCUUUAAUUUCUUGCAUUAUUAAUGUCGUUUAGAUGAAUAAAACAAACCAUUAUCUAUAUAGUAAGAGAGCCAACAUAUAUAGUUCUUGUGAUUAUUGCAGUAAAUGACGGGUAAAAACUUGAUUAUUGCGCUGUAUACGAGUUGCUUAAGUUUGGAUGAAUAGAUCCAUGUUUCGCCUAUGGUAAUAGAUAGAAAAGCUCCUUAGGUGUCACGAAGAUAAAAGAGAAGAAAAGCUCCUUGAGUUGCAUUUAAUGAUGAUUAUCUCAAUUCCCUGAGUUUUUGUUAAGUUGUCACCAUUUUUAUGUUUCAAUAAAAAAAAAAAAUAGGACUUCAAAGUGUUUAAUGUGUGGUUUAAAAUUUUACCUAUUCAGUUAAUUGCAUAUAAAGAUUUAUGCAAAAUAAAAUAUUAUUGCCAACAUUUAUAAAAUUGUUAUCUAUUCUAUUUUAGGUAUCAAUUUUCUAAAUUGGAGUGCUUGACAUUGUCUAAACACCUGUUAAAGUUUUAAUGACAACAAACUAACCAAGAACAAAUUCUAAGUCUUCUAGACUUAAGCUGCUAUUUGAGCUUGUGAAUGUUAAGCGAGACUUGACUAAAAAGUAUGAAGAAAGGUGUAAAGCUUGUUUGUUCAUUUAUUACAUGUUCUAGAGGUUGGGAUUUUGUGACAAAUGGAUAAAGUGGAUCAAGCUUGUUUGGAAUCUUUAAGAGUCUCGGUGUUGGUGAACAAAAAUCCUACACAAGAGUUUAGCCCUCAAAGAGGUCUCUGACAAGUGUUAACGGCUUGACAAGUGUACCAAAUGUCCAAGUAGUAAAGACUCGAAAAUCUGAGUGGCGAUUUUUAUAGGGACUUUAUUUUGUACUUGUGUUGGAUUAUUUCCAAUUUGUAAGAGAAAAGAUGAGAUAAGGUAAAAGAAAAGAUGAAUUUAAAAGAAACAAUAACUAAAAUAAUAGAUAAAAAGAGACAAAAGAUAUAAAAGGGAAUUCAAUGGGAUGAGAAUGUUAGAACCUAACAUGUCUUAUUUACCUAAGAUGUAUUAUUUGUGAUUUUUCUCUAUCAAUCAGGUAAAUUUAUCCUAUCUACAUCUAUGAGAAUUCUUGCCCCUGAUGUCUUUGCAAAGAGUUAAUAGAUAAAAUGCAUGAAGUUUUAAUUCUAGAUGCUUGCUUUGAUGCAUGGGCAUAAUGCAAUCACUCUAUGUCUAGCAAUGAUUUUAUUAACAUACUCAUUUCUUUUAGUUUUAUUAUAAAUUACCCUCUGUCGAGCACCUAACCUCCAAAGAUGAUGCAAUGAUGAAUGAUGCAUGAAAUUAAAAGUAAGAAAGGAUAAUAUGAAAGAAAAUACCUGUUUGCAUUAAUAAAUAUGAAGUGUAAAAUACAUCUUUUAGUUUUUUAAGCUUGUUAAGUCCUAACUAAGGAUUUAGCCUCUCAUAGCUAUAAGGGGCCUUAUACUAAAAAAGGGGUAUAGGAACUGAUGGAGGAGAAGAGAUGGAAAAAGGGAACAGAAAAUUAUGAAAGAGAAAAAAGAAUUUCUUAAGGGAGAGUCCUCAGGCAGACUUUAGGUGUGUAUUAGAGUGCUCUGAGAUUUGGUGUGUCUUUUCUCCUUAACUUGACUCCUUUUUUAUAGUUGUUGGAGUGGACUUGGGCUUGACUCCCUUUUUAUAGUUGCUGGAGUAGACUUGGGCCUGGUGUAAAAAAUCUUCCUUAUUUAUAUUUUUGAAAUCCUGCCUAGGUUAGCUUUGCUAUUCUUAGCCGGUCCCAAGCCCGGAUAAAAGGAGAGGGUUGUGUUAGGCUUUCGACAGCCAACGUAAAACUUUGUCGAAUCUCUAUGACAUGGAUCAAUUACGUAAUAAUGUGAAUGCUAGGUCGUUGCCCGGAAGCAACGCGCUGUAUGGCUCGAGUACAGUGUCAAAAGAGCAAGGGCCGCUGCAUCACCGCCAAGAUGUAGUGAAAAGUAAGCAAGGGUUCCCACAUUUUCGUGAACGGGUGUGGGUAAAGAAGCUAGUUCAUGACAGGAGGAUUCGCUUCGGUACAUGGAAUAUAGGCACACUUACUGGAAAAUCUAUGGAAAUAGUGGAUGCUAUGGUGAGGAGGAAGAUCAAUUUUAUGUGCCUACAAGAAACUAAGUGGACAGGUGAAAAAGCGAAAGAAUUAGACAACUCGGGAUUUAAGCUAUGGUAUACGGGAAAAAUCAGAUCAAGAAAUGGGAUAGGGAUUAUUGUGGACAAGGAGUGGAAGAAGGAUGUCGUAGAUGUAAGAAGAGUAGGAGAUCGUAUCAUAGCCUUAAAAUUGGUAGUGGCACAGGACACCUUUAAUGUCAUUAGUGGGUACGCACCUCAGGUUGGGUUAGCAGAACACUUUAAGGUAAAAUUUUGGGAGGAUCUAGAAGGGGUACUUCAGGAUAUACCCCAAGGAGAGAAAGUUUUCCUAGGAGGGGAUGUCAAUGGACAUGUAGGUAGCGUGGAUAGAGGUUUUGAGGGGGUGCAUGGGGGUUUUGGCCUAGGGGAGAUGAAUGGGGAGGGUAAAUCCAUCUUGGAGUUUUCAGAGGCUUUGGAUCUUUCUAUAGCCAAUACAUGGUUUAAGAAAAGAGAGGAACAUCUUAUCACUUACAAAAGUGGAGGGACAUGUUCUCAGAUAGAUUUCUUCCUUAUCAGGAAGUCUGAUAGGAAGUAUUGCUUGAACUGUAAAGUUAUCCCGGGAGAGAGCUUGACUACCCAACAUAGAGUUUUGGUUAUGGAUGUAAGAAUUAGAGAUAGGGCAAAGAGAAGAAGUCCUAUGGUAGCACCAAGGAUCAAAUGGUGGCACUUGAAGGGUGAGAAACAAGGAAUCUUCCAACAAAAGAUAUGGGAGGGAUGGUGUGGACAAUCACAAGGAAGUGCAAAUGAUAUGUGGAACAAGACGUCCCAAGAGAUUAUUAAAGUGGCUAAAGAGACGUUGGGUGAAUCUAGAGGUUUUGGACCUAGGGGUAAAGAAUCGUGGUGGUGGAAUGAAAGUGUUCAGAGCAAAGUUAGAGUAAAAAAGGAGUGUUUCAAGGAGUGGUCUAGGUGUAGAAAUUCUGAAACUUGGGAUAAGUAUAAGAUAGCUAGAAAUGAAACCAAAAAGGAGGUGAGUGAGGCAAGAGCCCAAGCUUUUGACGGACUAUACCAAGCUCUAGGAACCAGGGACGGAGAAAGAUCUAUAUAUAGGCUUGCUAAGGGUAGAGAGAGGAAGACUAGAGAUUUGGAUCACGUAAAGUGUGUUAAGGAUGAAGAAGGCAAAGUCUUAGUGCAUGAAAAAGAUAUCAAGGAAAGGUGGAAGGUGUAUUUCCACAACUUAUUUAAUGAUGGAUAUGGAUAUGACUCUAGCAGUCUAGACACAAGAGAAGAGGACCGGAACUAUAAGUAUUAUCGUCGGAUUCAGAAACAGGAAGUAAAGGAAGCGUUGAAAAGAAUGAGUAACGGUAAGGCGGUGGGGCCAGACAACAUACCUAUUGAAGUGUGGAAAAAUCUUGGAGAUAAAGGUCUUGAGUGGCUCACCAAACUCUUUAAUGAAAUUAUGAGGUCAAAACGCAUGCCGGAGGAAUGGAGGAGAAGCACGUUAGUGCCAAUCUAUAAGAACAAGGGGGAUAUACAAAAUUGUGCAAAUUAUAGGGGAAUCAAGCUCAUGAGUCAUACCAUGAAAUUAUGGGAAAGAGUGAUCGAACGAAGAUUAAGAAAGGAGACUCAAGUUACUGAGAAUCAAUUUGGUUUCAUGCCGGGAAGGUCAACCAUGGAAGCGAUUUAUUUAUUACGGCGGGUGAUGGAGCAAUAUCGCAUGGACCAACAAGACUUGCACUUGAUUUUUAUUGACUUGGAGAAAGCGUAUGAUAGAGUGCCUAGAGAGAUUUUGUGAAAAGCUCUAGAGAAGAAAGGGGUUAAGGUUGCAUAUAUUCGAGCUAUCCAAGAUAUGUAUGAUAGGGUAUCGACUAGUGUUAGGACACAGGGUGGAGAGUCAGACGAUUUUCCCAUCACAAUUGGUUUGCAUCAAGGGUCAACCCUUAGCCCCUACCUUUUUACCUUAAUUCUGGAUGUCCUCACGGAACAAAUUCAAGAGAUAGCGCCGAGAUGCAUGCUUUUUGCAGAUGACAUAGUCCUCCUUGGAGAGUCGAGGGAGGAGUUGAAUGAGAGGUUGGAAACUUGGAGACGAGCUCUAGAAACACAUGGCUUUCGCCUAAGCAGAAGCAAAUCGGAGUAUAUGGAAUGUAAGUUCAACAAAAGUAGGAGGGUAUCUAACUCAGAGGUGAAAAUAGGAGACCAUAUUAUCUCUCAAGUCACACGGUUUAAAUAUCUUGGGUCUGUAAUACAGGAUGAUGGAGAAAUUGAAGGGGAUGUGAAUCAUCGCAUUCAAGCAGGAUGGAUGAAAUGGAGAAAAGCAUCGGGGGUGUUAUGUGAUGCAAAGGUACCGAUCAAGCUAAAGGGAAAGUUUUAUCGGACUGCGUAAGACCGGCGAUUUUGUACGGAACAGAAUGUUGGGCGGUCAAGAGCCAACAUGAGACUAAAGUAGGUGUAGUGGAGAUGAGGAUGUUGAGGUGGAUGUGUGGUAAGACUCGACAGGAUAAAAUUAGAAACGGAGCUAUUAGAGAGAGGGUUGGAGUAGCGCCUAUUGUAGAGAAGAUGGUGGAAAAUAGACUUAGGUGGUUUGGGCAUGUAGAGAGAAGACCGGUAGACUCUGUAGUGAGAAGAGUAGAUCAGAUGGAGAGAAGGCAAACAAUUCGAGGCAGAGGAAGACCCAAAAAGACUAUAAGAGAGGUUAUCAAGAAGGAUCUCGAACUUAAUGAUUUGGAUAGAAGUAUGGUACUUGAUAGAACAUUAUGGCGGAAGUUGAUCCAUGUAGCCGACCCCACCUAGUGGGAUAAGGCGUUGUUGUUGUUGUUGUAUUUAUAUUUUUGAUAUUUUCUAGAUCUUUUUUGCUUUUAAUUUCUCUUUUUCAUAUCUGCAAGUCAUAAAUAAGAAAAAUAUCAAUUUCUAAUAUUUAAGUAAAAAAUAACUACUAAAUAAAUAUUUUUAAAGACAUUUUCAAUAUAUUUUAUUAUAAAAAAUAACUCAUAUUUAACAGUUAUCAACAAGGUGACCUAAUUGCACAUUUUUUCCCUUGUGGUAGUUGAAGGUCUUGUGGGUCUUAUGAGACAAGCUUCGGUUGCAUAGCUUUUCUCUGACUUUUUGGUUGAGAGGAAAAAAGUGGAAAUUUCCUUGUUACAAUUCGUUGAUGACACAGUAGUCUUCUUUGCACAAUCGACCAUGGAAAAUGUGAGAUGAAUAAAGUGUAUACUUAGGUUCUUCGAAUUGGCUUUUGGGUUAAAUAUCAACUUUCAAAAGGCAAGUUGGCAACCUUAAUUAGGUAUAAGUGGGCACUUUGAAUCUUUGGCUGCAAUUUUUCUCAAUUGUAGGAUCAUGGACGUGCCCUUCAUGUAUCUAGGAAUCCUGAUUGAAGCAAAUCCUAGAAAGCAAGCUACAUGGGAGCCUAUCUUGGCCAAGCUUCGAUCCAAGUUAUUGGUGUGGAAGCAUAAAUUCUUAUCUCUCGGUGGUAAGGUUUGUUUAGUUAAUUUGGUCCUAUCUUUUCUAUCAUUUUUUAGGAUGCCCCAAAGGGUGGUUAAGAAGUUCAUUAGCAUUCAAAGAAACUUUUUAUGGGGCAGAUCGAGAUGAGAGGAAGAAAGUUGCUUGAGUCAAAUGGGAUUUGGUUUGCCUUCCAAAAGAUCAAGAGGGUUUGGGAAUUAAACAUAUUAAGUUUUUUAACCAAGCUUUUCUUGGUAAAUGGAGGUGGAGGGCAUUUGUGGAAAAGGGUAGUAUGUGGUCCUUGAGUGUUGCACUCAAAAUAUGGUUGUGAUAAUGUGUUGAAUAUGAGAAGGAGCAUCCUGAAGGUCUCUACAUGGUGGAAGGACUUGGUAAAAGUUUGCGAGGAAAACAAUGAGGAACCUUGGUUUGAUAACAAUGUUGCUUGGAGGCUAGGCUGUGGGAAUGAGAUACAAUUUUGGAAUCACGCUUGGAUUAAUGAUAAGCCUUUGAAGGAAAGGUUCCCACAUAUGUAUUUGAAUAGUCAGCAAAAUGUUUGUGUUGUUAGGAGGGUAGUGUUUGGUUAUGGAAGCUUUGUUGGAGGAGCCCUUGGUUUGAAUGGGAAAACUUAACACUUUGCGAUUUUGUACAUGUUUAAAUUUUGUCACGUUGAAAAGGGAUUAUUUGGACUUUUUGUUGUGGAAAGGGGAUCCAACAAGUACUCAUAUUGUUAGCUUUGCAUACAAGUGCUUGUUGGAGCUCAAUUCUCACUCCCCAAAAGUGAAUCCCGAAUUUGUUAGUAUUGUAUAGGAAACAAAAAUGUCUUCAAAUGGGUCAUUCUUGGUGUGGAGGUUGAUUUAUGACAUGCUUCCAGCCAGGGUAAGCCUUAGGAGAAGGAACGUUUGAGGAUUGGAUGAUGGAGCUUCCUGCUAGUUCUCUAACAACGUGGAAAAAGUCUACAUAACACCUGCUUUUCCUUUUCCCAUUCACUCAAUUAGUUUGGUCUAGUUGUUAUAAUUUGUUUCCUUGCAUGAUUUUUAUUUUAUCGAUUUAAUUCGUAAAAGUAAAAAUUCUUCCUUUUGUUAACUAAAUCAUACACAAUUGAAUACGUCAUUUUACUUUAUUUGACAUUUAUUAGUGAAUUUAUCAACUAGUCUUAUUAAACACUUUCAAUUAAAUCAUAUAGCUUAUAAGCUUUUAGCAACACCUAGCAUAUGACUAUGUUCGAUAAGUCAUUUCAACUAGUUUCUAGCUUUUUUUACUAGCCGAAAAACUUGUUUGCCUGUUCGGUAGACAAAUUUUUUAAAGUAGCUUUUAGUGUUUUUUGAUAUACUACUUAGGCGGCAAAACUAGGUGAAAAACUAGCUCAAAGCUAAGAGAUUAAAACUAGUAAUUAGAAGCUUAAAAACUAACUAAUUAAAUUAUAAGUGUUCAGUAAAACUAGCCGCUGAAGUAGCUAAAAAGUGUAAAAUGACAAAAAAGAAAUAAAACCAUGAUUUAUUUUAAAAAGGUAAUAUGAAAAUUUGAUAAAUAUAUUCAGAAUAAAAGGGAAGACAAUAUAAAAAAUUAGAAGUCGAUCUGCAUUUUAAAAAAUAUUAUUUCAAAUAAAGUUUUAAAGAAUGCUAGAAGUUACUAAAAAGUUUUAUUUAUCAAACAGUCACACACUUUUCAGCUAGUAAAAAAAACUAGAAACUAACUGAAAUGUCUUGCCAAACAUAGUCAUGAAAUAGAAUUUUUUUAAAACCCUAACUUCUACCUUUUAUAUUUUAUUUUAUUUUUAUCCUUAAAAUAUUUAUUCAAUUUUUUUAUUAUCCUUUUCAAAUAUGUUAUUUUACAUUUUCUGGCCACCUCAAUAAUUAACUUUAUUAAACACUUAAGAUUUAAUGAACUAGCUUAAAAGUUUUUAGCUACCUGCUAGUUUUUUCCAAGCAUAGUUUAUAGCUUAUAGUUUAUUAGCCAGCUUAUCAACUAAUUUUUACCAAACAUAACCUAUAUAUAAAACUAUAAGAAGUGAUCAUGGUAGACAUUUUUAAAAUAAAAUUUAAAUUAUUUUAUGAUGAAUAUGUCAUUUCUUCUUUACUUGUAGAACUCUUCAACAAAUUAGGGUCUUGAUAGGUAGAUCAAGAUUACUCCUUCAAGUUUUAAGUAUAAGAAAAAAAAAACACAUUUUUUGUUUCAAUUAUAAGAAAAUUUCAAUUAACUUCAUCUUAUUAAAUACUACUAUAUCUAAAAUAUCUUUCAUUUAAUUGAAGUUUUAGUUUCAAUUAACUAAUCUUUUUUUAGAUGGUAUAUCAUAUUUUAUUUUCUUUUUAUAUUUGAGACUAAAAGAGAGUAUGUAAGGAAAUGGUAAUUGUUCCAGAUUGGUAGUUUAAGGAAAAGAAGGAAGAGAAAAAGUAAAAGAAUCUGACGUCUAAUAGUUCUGUUAGGAUUUUCGAGGGUGGACUAGAGGGAAAUACAAAACAAGAGACACAUAAUCUACACGAGUAGGAAGAAGAAUAAAAGAAAAGUAGAAAAUGAUUCAAAUAUUAAGACCACAUUGAUGGGGGACAAAGGAUAGACCCCAUAAGUAAGAAACAAUGUGUGGAUGGAUAAGCUAUUAAAUUUAGACACCCGUUUUGUUGGGUGUGAUGGAUUUGGUGAUGAUGACACAUGGCUUUGUAAUUGUAAAGGUGGGAAAACAAAUAUUACCGAGGAAGAAAGAGCAAAAUUCCUAGAGAUUUUAGUGUCAAACGGGGAAUAUUUAGGGUGGUGUAAAAGCUAGAAACGUGUUAGCUUCCAUAUCAUUGAGAAUAAGUUGAAACAUGAAUAGGCUUUGAAGGGUCAGAUUAAGAUUGUAGUUGUUCAUAAUAUUAUCAAGCUAGUUUUAUCCCUCAGAGGAAAAUUAAUGUGCUAAUGAUAUUGUAGUUUCUCAAGAAAUCUCCCACUCAAUGAGAAGCAAGACGGGAAACAUGGGCUGGAUGGUGAUAAAGGUUGAUCUAGAAAAGGCUUACGACAGACUGAAAUGGGACUUUGUGUGAGAUACCUUGAACGACAUUGGUUGCCAUCCUAAUUUUGUUUCGUUGGUAUGGAAUUGUAUUUCUUCACCUACUAUAUAUGUAGCAUGCUUUGAAACUGGGAAGCGUUGGAGGAGUUUCAGCCUAAGCGAGGGCUAAGACAAGGCGAUCCUAUCUCGCCUUACCUUUUUGUUUUAUGCCUAGAGUUAUCCAUACGAUUAAUCUAGUUGUGGGGAAGAAUCUAUGGAUGCCUAUUCAGAUCUCUAGAGGUGGCCUGACUUUUUCACAGCUAACCUUUGCAGACAACCUUUUUUUGUUUGCAGAGACAUCUGUUGUCUGGGUGGAUGUUAUCAACUAUGCUUUAAGGAACUUUUGUGAGAGUUCAGGAGCAAAAGUGAAUGAGGAAAAAAUAAGAAUUUUCUUUUUGAAAAAUGUAAAUUGGCAUAUCAAGGAGGAGACUUCAGCAGGCUUUGACUUUCAAUGCAAUGAAAACAUAGGAAAAUACCCUGGCGUGCCCAUUUUUCAUAAAACUGUUAGUUCCCAAACCUUCAACUAUGCGACUGAAAAAGUUGAUAAAAGACUUGACAGCUAGAAAUCUAAUCUUUUGUCUAUGGCUUGAAGUGUCACUCUGGCCCAAUUGAUGAUCCAAGCGUUGCCAACCUAUGUAAUGUAGAUAAAUUCCCUGCGAGCUGUGGUGGUGUGUGAGUCCAUCGACAAGAAGUGCAUGUCUUUUAUAUGGGGCGAUACUAUUGAAGCCCAUAAAAUUCACAUUGUUUCUUGGGAGAAUUUGUGCAUGGUGGGUUGGGACUAAGGUCAGCAUGAAGUAUAAACAAAGCUUACACGAUGAAGAUAGGUUGGAAGUUAAUCUCAAAGCGGCACACAGUUUGGGCAUCUCUUAUGCGCGCAAAAUAUAAGUGUGGAAAUGUGGAUAAACCAAAACAGAUUAAGUAUUAUGACAUUUUACUCUCAUCUUAGCUAAACCAAAACAGAUUAAGUAUUAAAAAAAAAAACAGAUUAAGCAACAUUGACCACGUAAACAAGCCGCUAGAUAUUGACAUAAAACAUAUUUAAUUUAACGUAUAAGAUUGGAUUAACUAAAAUUUUCCAAAUUAUCGUCAUUAAUUAAUCGGUUAAUAGUGGUCAUAAAUGAUGUUCACUUAUUAUAAUCAACGCUAAGAUAACACAUAAUUGAACCAAAAUCAACGCUUACAUAACACAAGUUUAAAAUAUAAGAGAAACUUAAUUAAACUUAUCUAAAAAUUAGCUAUACACUAUACUAUUGAUAAGUAAGAAUAUAAUAAAAAUCACCAUACUAUUGAUAAGUAAGAAAAUAAUAAAAAUUUAUUUUAAUUUAUCUGUAAGAAUCUAAAAUAGUAUUAAAAAAUUUACAACAAUCAACACAUCAUAUUCAACUAAUUGAGUUAGAUUUCAUUAACAAUAAAAAUUUAGAUUAAUUAUUUGUACAAUAAGUCUUACGUCUUAUUUUGACUAGAUUUGUUUAUUAAAAAAUUCACAUAAAUUUUAUGCAAUGAUCGAUAAAAGUAAGUUUAAAAAAUUUGUUAGAAAAUCUACUAUUAAAAUUUGUUAUCACCCGUCGGGUAUCGGAUGCCCCGUCCUCGUUCCGUUCUCGGUUCAGAUUUGUAAAAAAAUUAUAUUGAAAAUCUGAUUUAAAAAAAUUGAUUGUUAUACAUUUAUUUUUAACUACUUGUAUUUGCAGCACAUUUGUCUACAAAAAUCAUCAAAAAUAUAAUCUUGAAUUAUGUAAAAAUUAUAAAAACAUUAACCAGUAAUUAAUCAAAUUUUAAUAAUUUCAUCACCAGAAACGGAUACAGGAAUGGAUAUGAGACGGAUAGUGACAUCUUCAUUUUGACCCCAAUCAAUUCAAGUAUUUUUCAUCAAAAUUGAGAGGAUAUUUAUGGAUACGAAUUUCAUUAUUGCCAUUCCUAAUUUUAAGAUGACAAGUGGCAGUUUCUCCUACGAAAUGUACGAACCUUUUUUUGUUAGACUUGCAAGAUAGAGAAGAAAAUGCGUUUGCCUAUAGUUUCGGGAGUGUGAUUGACCCAUGUGGGUCCUUUUUAAAAACUUUUUAUCAAAAUGAAUUUGUCCUAAAACGUAUUACUGUCAUGGGUUUGUUUUUGACCAAGGUUAACCAGAAAAAUUGACUUAUUAUUUUGAUUCCACGUAAUUCUUUGCAAAACAAAAAGUAAAGGAAAAGAGUAUGUGGCAUUCACAUAAACCAACCAUUUCAAUUUGCGUUUUUAACUAUGCAAAUUUCGUUACCAAAGCUGGAUUUGUUAGACAUAAUAAAUGAUCAAUGAGAAACAGCAAAAUGGGAUUGCUGUUCAAGGUGGUACAAGCAAACAGCAGGCCGAAAUUGCUGGAUCAUGAACACACGGAAGCAGCGCUGUGAACCGCAACACGUAUUUGCUGGUUCUAGUUUUUUUUAAAUGUUUAUUUUUAAUUUUUUAUAUACUUUAUUGUUAUUAUAGAAUUUACUUAUUUAUAAUAUGUGUAUUGUUUAAUAUUUUAUAUUUUUUGUUAUUAUAGAACUUGAAGAUGUGCAAAUAAACUUUUUUUUUUUACAUCAAUUAUAAUUAGAACCAAUACUGCAUCAACUUUUACAUCUAUUGUAAAAUAUCUGAUGUAAAAAUCUGGCAUAAAAUGUUAUUUUUGUAGUAGUGGAAAUCCCACACUAUAUAAAUAGAAAUCAUCCUAAGUAAGCUAAGUGUUGACCAAUGAUGCAUCCCACAGUAUUCCAUGCCCUGCAUUACGCCGACUUGCUAUCCUUCCUACAUUCCUAUUCAAUCUGCCAACUACAAACUUCAAAAAUAUGAAUCCCCAUGAAUCAAAAAUUAAUUUUAGGGUGUGUACCUUCCAUGAUAUGAUCACCAUAUGAACUGCUUUAAGUUUCAAACGUGCUCUUAGCAGCUUUCGGGCACCUCCUUAAAGUUUUCGGCACGGUCCUAGUAUUUUUCAACUACCUUCUUGAAGGUUAACUUUGGCGUCGCAUAAUGAACUUCUCUUACUUUCUUAUGUUUAUUCUCAUGUCUUCCAUUAUGUUUAUGUUUAUUUUGACUGCACUAAUUUGUUUAUAAACCUCAAAGGGUGCGUUGUGAAUGGCUAAGACCAUGUGUGGUUGCGACUGAAACUACGCACACAAGCAGUGAACCAUUGUUCCUACACUAUACUGAAAACUCUCAAUUAGCUUGGUAACAUAUGUUUCACUGGAGGCUUGCCACGCGGAGGAAUUCAGAUAUAUAUAUCAUGUGAGAUUCCCUUAACUCAGUACCAUGCACGAUUCAACUUAGUUAUCAUGUAACCCCUUAGUUAACUCGGUAACCUAGCUAGGUCCAUACCCAAUUUAGUACCAUGGUCUGGCUCAAAUUUAAGCCUCUUCGCUUUAUUAAGCUUGAGGUUAAAAGAUUGUGUACCUUUUUAACUUGGUAUCUGAGGUUCAUAUUUGACCUUGGUAUGAGGUUCAUACUUUAACUUUGAGAGUUGCUUAAGUAGUUUUAAGGUUGCGUUAAUGUACUAAGUCAAAGCAUGAAAACUUGCUUGGAUACCACCCUCACAUUUGCGUUCGUUGAAAUAGCCAUCGAGAAUUAAUCCCUUUUAAAGAUGUAAUUUUUCACUUUUGGGAUUUCACAUUACUUAUCACGCAUCUCCCCCUAAAUUGGGAGGAACCAGUACACACACAAUUGGAUAAAAAUUACCUCCAUAGAGUGUGGAAGGGGUUGAGAACACACCGUGGGCAAUAUAACGAAGGCAACACAACCAUAAAAAAUACUUUUAACAUCGUUUGUCUUAAAAAUGAUGUAAAAAAAAAAAACACGAUGACAAGUUAGUUUUUUAAAAAUCGAUACUGAAAUUAGUUUUUCAACAUCUUUUUAUUGUAAAAGGGUUGUUGAGCUAGAUUAUAAACCUUUUCAUUUUCUUCCUGUCUUUUGAAUUUCUUGUGGUUCGGUCCAUUUUGGAGUGACAUUGCUCGCUAGGCUUAGAUUCUCGUGUGGCAUCACGAGAAACAAUUUGAAUCUCCAUAUUCUUCCUGUCUUUUGAAUUUCUUAUGGUUAGCGUGUUGUAAAUGAAGAAUUUUGAGGUGUCAUGGAAUGUGACUAUCUUUGGGGAGAACGAUCACGGUUUUUUCCUAUACAUAAAUUCCAAUGAUCUAGAGGAAAUAGGAUACGGCAAUUUUUUUUAAUCGAUGUUAAAGGAGUUUUUCUUUUAGAAGUACCAGAAACCUAAAAAGAGAUUGAUGGGCUUCUGUCACACCCUAAAUCAGUCCCGAAGGAAAAGAGUAAAAAAAAUUAACAAAAAGAAAAAAAACAUAAACACAAAAAAAAGAAAAAAAAAAGAAACAAAAGAGAGAGAAAACGUGAAAAAAAACAAAAGAACAAUAUAAAGAAGAAGAAGAAGAAAUAUAUUGUGUGAUCUAUUGGGCUCUUAAAGAGAACCCAUUAGGUGAAGAGACAACAAUGUGCAUACAAAUUAAAAAAAGGAAGGUCUUUGGAAUUAAAGCACAAAGGAGCAUAGAUCUUGGGAAAAGAAAACGAAUCAAUCCGACGACGUCAUUUGACAAGCUUUGUCAUAGAAGAGAGAGUGAUCAUCAGUUAAUCCAUCAUUUCCUCACUCUCUCAUGCUUUCUUCUCACAUUUCCUUUCUUCUUCUUCUACUAUGUUUUCCUAUUCUUUUGUUUCUUUUUUUACCAAAUUUGAAAAAUGUUUAUAUUCCAAAGAGAAAGGAUAGACAAAAUGUUUAGGACAAAUACUAGAUCUCUAUGAAGAAUUUGUGCGAAGAUGGGACUCGAGCUUCUUGUUGCGGUUGUUAGUGAGUUGCAUGAUGCCAUAGCUUGUGAUGCCCGGAAUGACGAUGCAUGCGGUGGCGAAUGCAAGGAAGAAGGGUUUAGAUUCCUGGGUCCUUCGCACGAUCUGAUUUUAUCCCAUUACCAUCUUUCUCUUUCCCUUGCCACCCUUCACCUUCGCUGUUAUUUACACCCUGUAUUUUAAUACAUGCAUCCCAUUUUAUGUUUUGGGCCUAGCCCAUUUUUGUACAAAUUUGAAAAAAAAUUUGAAAUUACUAUUUACACUGUCUUUUCUUACAAAUGCACUUUUUAUUUUGGGCCUAGCCCAUUUUAGUAAAGUGUGAAAUAAAAUGAACACCACUAUUUACAUCCUUUUUUCAACACAUGCACUUUUUUCAUUUUGGGCCCAACCCAUUUUCUUUAAGUCCGAGAUAAAAUGAAACUAAUGAAUACACCCCUUCUCUAUAUAUGCACCCCUGCCACUUAGGAUGGUGGUUAGACCGGUAUGUCAGCACUCCGUCAGUGUUGAUUAAGUCAAUGUCAACCUUUUGAUUUUGAAAAAAAUUAAAAAAUAGAUAAAUAAAAACAAUUUUGCAUAUUAGUGAAUGACUCUUUAUUUUAUUGUAUUUUUUUUAUUGUCUUUAUCGUUUAUUCUUCAAUGAGAUUUUAUUGUUAUCAUUGUCUAACUAAUUAGUUUAAUUAAUAAUGUAUUGUAAAUAUCUCGUUAUUCAUCUUAUUUCCCCCAUGUUUUUAUCCUGCAUCCUUAAUUAUUAAGUGUACUUCACACUACUAGUCUAUCUCUUUCUAUUCCCAUUCUAUGUAUCUGAUUUCAUGACACUAUGUCAAUUAUUUAUUUAUUUUUAUAAAUCCACAUUAACAUUCUUUAGUACACCCUUACAUUAUGUGCACUCCAUGCUAGAUCUCCGACUUGCUUGGUGGUGUUUCAAUAAUGUGAGUAAAUUUUUGAACAUCAUGUUGAGUCUCCAACUUGCAUGAGUUCACAAAGGUUAUCACAAACCUAAAUUUUUUUUUGAAAAAUAUAAAAUUCUCAAAUAAAUGAUCACUCAAUUCUCCUUUUUCAUGUUCCUCGCAUUUCAUGUUGAAUUUCCGACUUGCUUGACAGUGUUUCAAUAAAGUGUGAGUAAAUUUUGUGAAUGUCAUGAUGGGUCUCUGACUUGUUUGACUUCACAAAGUUUACCACAAAAUCAAAAUCUUUAAGUAAUAAUAAUAAUAAUAAUAAAAUCAAUCCAACACACAAGCUAUUUUUCUACAAAGAACUACAUAAGUUUGAUUUUCUCAUUAUACUUGAAGAUAAUAAGAGCAAGGACAAACACCUUGUCAACCUAAAAAAGUUAAAAAAAAAACAUAAAAUUUCUUCUUUUUUUCCAAAAAAAUAAAAAUAAAAAUAUUAUUUUCUUUAUUUUCUAAAUAAACAAAAAAAAUACAACAAAUAUAAUGCAUGUCUUCAAGGGAAAAUAAAUAAUUAAGAACUCAUUUUAUUUUUAGCACACUCAAUUAAAGACUAUCGUUUUCAUGACCGACGUGUGAGGUGUUAACAUCUUUCCGGUGUGUAAAUGACUCUCAAUUUUUUUUUCUCAAAUCGUAGACCAUUCAUUAUUUUAUUUUUAUUUUCUAGAUGUUUUUCUUAAAUAAAUGGUUGUGAUGAUUCCCUAAAUAAGUUUUCCAUUUUUUUUUUGGAAACAUUUUGUUUAUCUAAUUUUUUAUUUCGGUGUCACGUCGCGACCGGACAACUUCAAUGUUUUGAUGCUUAGUUAUCUUAAGUAUCGAUCUAGAGGUGACUUAUGACCGGAACAUAUUCUUUUUCUUGUUUGUAAUUUUUUGUCAGGAAAUGAAUUAAGCAACAGAAAAAGAAAAAUAUGUUACUUUCAGUACUGUUUCCUUAAAAAGUUGAAAUAAAAAACCAAAUUGUCGAUGACGUUAUUUUAACUAAAUAUAAAAAAAAGAACUUCCUUUUGUUAUAAUUUUAUAUUUGUUAAAAAAAUGUUUUGUGAAAAAAAAAAGAUUCGGGAAAUAUAAUAAUUAUAUAUGACAGUGCGGCGGAGUUUGAUUAUUUGAAGAUUCAAAUUAAGGAUAAGGAUAAAAUUAGAGUAAUAUAAUUUAAUUAUACUAAAUUAUUAAUUAUAUGGUUAAAUUAUUUUAUUAUAUAGUCUUAUUUAAUAUUUAAUACUAAUUUUUUUAUAAUAUAAUAAUACUGUAAAAAAUUCUUAUAUUAAUAUUUAUAGAAUUUUAUAUUAUUCAAUUUAUUAUAUAAUUAUAAUUUAUUAAUUAAAUUAAUCAAAAUAAUUUUAUAUAAAAUUGUUGAUGAUAUAGAAGUUUAGUGUAAGUGUAAGUUAUAAUUUGUUAUCUCUUUAUGCCAAAUACCCAGGAAAAGUAUGAAUACUUUCGAAUUUCAAUGCGAUAGCUGUUCUUCUACUCCUUAUUAUUAUUUAUUUAUUUAUCUUUUUGACUGCAUGAUAAAGAAAAUUAUUAUUUAUUUUUAACUUUUGAGACACCACGAGUCUUUGACUUUGAAUUUGAACCAUUCACGACGAAAGAAUACCCACCAAUGUGUUAGGGGUUUGGUUUAUUUAUUGAUUUAUUUUGAAUAUAAAGUUACUUAAAUUCAACAUGAUAAAUAUUAUAUACAAUUAAGUUGAAUUCAAUUUUUAAAGUAGGAAUCAAUAAUCAAAUUUAAUACUAAUAACUUAUUGAUUCAAAUAAUAUUGAACUUUUUUUUAAGUAAAGUUUAAAAUUCGAGUAUUAUGAAUAAAGAAAAUAUGAUUAGGAGGGAGAACCCUACUUAAAAUAAUCAGGAAAAUUUCAACAAAAAUUAAUCAUCAGUAAAAUCGGUAGAUAUUUCAUACAAAUAGCAUAAUUAAAAAAAAAUCAAACUUAAUUUAUUACUUUUUAUUUGUUUGAAAAUUUAAAAUAAUUUAAUUUGGUUUUGAAGACAUUUCUCCCCAACUUUACUGAAUGUGUGAGGAGAAAAUUAUAAGAUAAAAUAAUAACUAUACUAAAACAAUAAUAUGACAGUAUCAUAAAAAUAUUAAAAAUAUAUAAGUUAUGAUAAUUAAAAUAACAUAGAGAAAUAAAAUUUUAAUAAAAAUAUAUAUAUAAUUUAAUAGUUAUAUUAUGAAUUUUAAAUUAUUAUUCAACCAUAAAUCAUCAUUAAUAUUAAUAUGAUGGGUUUUAAUUUUAACGGCAUAUAAAAAAACAUUUUUUUUGAACUAUAUAGUAUCCACUUUGUGAUUAUUAGGCCUCAUCAGAACUGUCUAUUAAUAUUAUCUGUCAAGACAUGUUCUUGUAUAUAUAUAAAAAUAUAAGACCAGCUGAUACUGUAUAAGUAUAUUAAUAGUCUAAGGGGGCUGCUAAUAGUAGUACGACUGGACAAAAGUUGAGUAAAUAUUGACUGUUUGAGGCCACAUGGUUGUCAUUCAUGAGUUUUUGUUAAUUUAAAAUUCCACCAUACAUUAUGACAAAGUGUUAUAUAAAGGUCACUUCGCAUGCUACAUAUUGCACCACUCAAAUAUCAUAAACACUAAUCACUAGUAAUAGUGAUUAAUUUCCCAGUAAGUAAUAACAUCACAUCACAGUAUAGUCUUUGGUGCAACAAUCAAGUACUCAUCAGCAUGGGAAUGUUGUUGUUGUUGUUGUCUUACUCUCUCCUUUUCCUGGUUCUAUUCCUUACACUGAAAUCCCUUUUCCAAAGAAGAAAAUUGAGAAACCUACCACCAGGUCCUCCUCCUCUUCCCAUAAUAGGUAACCUUAACCUCCUCGAACAACCUAUUCACCGUUUCUUCCAACGCAUGUCCAAAGAAUAUGGAAACAUCGUUUCCCUUUGGUUCGGUUCACGUCUCGCCGUUGUCAUUUCCUCACCAACAGCAUACCAAGAAUGCUUCACCAAACACGACGUUGCCUUGGCCAACCGGCUACCUUCUCUCUCGGGAAAAUACAUAUUCUACAACAACACCACCGUAGGGUCCUGCUCCCACGGGGAGCACUGGCGGAACCUCCGCCGCAUCACCGCCCUGGACGUCCUCUCCACGCAGCGAGUCCACUCUUUCUCCGGAAUCCGAAGCGACGAGACGAAAAGGUUGGUACAGAGGUUGCUGGCCAAGAACUCCAAGGAGGGUUUUGCGCGCGUGGAGAUAAGCUCCAUGUUCAAUGACUUGACCUACAACAACAUCAUGAGGAUGAUAUCAGGGAAGAGGUUUUACGGAGAGGAGAGUGAGUUGAAGAACGUUGAGAAAGCGAGGGAGUUCAGAGAGACAGUGACAGAGAUGCUAGAACUCAUGGGGGUGGCUAAUAAGGGAGAUCACUUGCCAUUCCUAAGGUGGUUCGAUUUUCAGAAUGUGGAGAAGAGGUUGAAGAGUAUUAGUAAAAGGUAUGAUACCAUCUUGAAUGAGAUCAUUGAUGAGAACCGUAGCAAGAAGGACCGUGAGAAUUCCAUGAUUGAUCAUCUCCUCAAACUGCAAGAGACUCAGCCUGAGUACUACACUGACCAAAUCAUCAAAGGCCUUGCUUUGGUAAUUAUUUUAUUUCAUUAUCAUGAAAAUUAUUUUGUUAAUUUGCUAGUAAUUUCUUGUGUUAUAUAUCUGAUCACCUAGUGAAAAAUUAAGAGAGAAAGCAUGGCAAGGUGUUUUAUAACAUGUCUAUAUAAGAGCUUGAUUGUUUUUUAAAAUAAAAUUGUACUGAAUCAAAUACAGGUAUAGCUAGAAUAGAAGCAAUAUAUUCUUGCGGUUUUAAUUAUUGUUCAGCAGAUAGGGACCACAUUCUUGGUGACAACAUUCAGUUGUAUUCUUGGAGUUCGUUGAAGUCAAAACUAUUUUCUAAUUGUUGCUUUUCAUGACUGGUGUUGCAAUCUGUUAUAUUAUAUUAAUAUGCAUGUGGUUGUUUUAUUUGACUUCAUGCAUGACUGUAUUUGGGUUAGAUUUUUCCUUAUAGUCCCUUUAAUAUUUUCUUUUGCGGCUAAUAUUAAUAAAAAUGAAGUAUGAUAAAAAUCCAUGAGAAAUUAAUGAUUUGAAAGUAUAAUAAUUUCAAUAAUUUUGAUUUUUCCAACCUUAAUAUUUUAAAUUCAUAAUAAUUGAUUUAGUACUUUUAUCACUUUCCUCCUCUUCCCAACUUAUUUAUUUUUCUUCCAAAAGAGAGUGGUUUUAUUUCAUUGUAAUUUAAUUUAAAAUGACAUGAUAUGCUCUACCAAUGUAUUUUUUAACACUUCAUAUGGGAUUUUGGAUUGCAGGCCAUGCUUUUUGGCGGAACUGACUCGUCAACUGGAACUUUAGAGUGGUCAUUAUCUAAUUUAUUGAAUUAUCCAGAGGUGUUGAAGAAAGCAAAAGACGAAUUGGACACACAAGUAGGGCAAGACCGCUUGUUAAAUGAGUCAGACCUGCCAAAACUUCCUUAUCUUAGAAAGAUCAUCCUUGAGACACUUAGGUUGUAUCCCCCAGCUCCAAUUCUAAUACCUCAUGUUUCUUCAGAAGAUAUUACUAUUGAAGGAUUCAAUGUCCCACGAGACACAAUUGUGAUCAUUAAUGGUUGGGGCAUGCAGAGAGAUCCUCAGUUAUGGAAUGAUGCUACAUGCUUUAAACCUGAGAGGUUUGAUGUGGAGGGAGAGGAGAAAAAGUUGGUAGCAUUUGGGAUGGGAAGAAGGGCUUGUCCAGGAGAACCCAUGGCUAUGCAAAGCG
RNAcentral lists this long non-coding RNA (19612 nucleotides) under Glycine max (soybean). RNAcentral's name for it is "long non-coding RNA (GMAX_LNC001926)". The record is from RNAcentral. Lineage: Eukaryota; Viridiplantae; Streptophyta; Magnoliopsida; Fabales; Fabaceae.